This 429-nucleotide ribosomal RNA is filed under the name Gemmatimonadota bacterium. RNAcentral describes it as "Gemmatimonadetes bacterium partial 16S ribosomal RNA". It matches the Rfam family "Bacterial small subunit ribosomal RNA", at positions 355 to 776 of the family's 1533-position model. The record is from RNAcentral. Lineage: Bacteria; Pseudomonadati; Gemmatimonadota.
UAGGGAAUCUUCGGCAAUGGACGAAAGUCUGACCGAGCAACGCCGCGUGAGUGAAGAAGGUUUUCGGAUCGUAAAACUCUGUUGUUAGAGAAGAACAAGGAAGUUAGUAACUGAACGUCCCCUGACGGUAUCUAACCAGAAAGCCACGGCUAACUACGUGCCAGCAGCCGCGGGAAUACGUAGGUGGCAAGCGGUGUCCGGCUUUAUUGGGUGUAAAGCGAGUGCAGCCGGUUUCUUAAGUCUGAUGUGAAAGCCCCCGGCUCAACCGGGGAGGGUCAAUGGAAACUGGGAGACGUGAGGGCAGAAGAGGAGAAUGGAAUUCCUUGUGUAGAGGUGAAAUACGUAGAUAUAUGGAGGAAAACCAGUGGCGAAGGCGACUGUGUGGUCUGUAACAGACGCUGAGGCUCGAAAGCGUGGGGAGCAAAAAGG